Molecule: non-coding RNA, 2228 nt
Organism: Callithrix jacchus (white-tufted-ear marmoset)
Lineage: Eukaryota; Metazoa; Chordata; Mammalia; Primates; Cebidae
Source: RefSeq, a predicted model, not a curated record
CGCCCCGGCCCCGCCCCCUCCCUGCCCCCAGGGCCGCUGUGCGCCGGGCGGGGCCAGCGACGGGGUGGGAUCGGGGGCCUGGGGACAACGCCUCAAGGCCGGGGCGGCGACGAACUCCGAGCGGGACACUGAACGGCUCGUACGCGCAAGAUUAGCACGGACCUAACCAGGUACACGCACCUGCCGGGACGUACUGACCGAGGUGCGGACGGCACUUUACCAGGACAGGUAAAGACGCGAACGCUCGGACCUAAGAACUUGACAGGUACACCCUGCCUGAUGAAGCUACGCCAGGUGCGCUAUCGAGUGAGUAAGGUACACAGAGAUUGGUCUUUAUAACCUUGGAGGCAGAACCAUAGUUAUAAAGACAGGUACAUUCAGACAGGCACUUUUCAGGUGGAGUCAGGCCCUCAAGACACACUGCUCGAAGCCGUCACACAGAGGUGGGCCAACCCCAGGGCCAGGUACACCUUUCCUGAAAUCUCUACCUUACCAGGACCGAAAGGCAGAUUCAACCAGCAGAUGCACAAUGGCCGAGGCAGAAAACCAGGCAAAAGAAGGCCAUUUACCCCAAUCACCACGUGAGUGUCCACACAAGAAUACUGUCACCACACCGCAGAACUCACUGAUUGCCCCCACUGGAGGAGCUCCCCUGCUCCGUGAAGAUGCUUUUAGUUUCCCAGGUCAGACCUGAUCCCUCGCUUGAGCAGUUUACAGUAUCUACUCAGAGGCUUACAGACAGAGGUCGUUUUGCUGAUGUUACCCUUGAAAAAUUCUGCAGGGCUAAACUGCCCCAGCUGGAAAGACUUGAACCAGGAUAAAGAGCUCCUAUUCUAGCGCUCCUAUUAUUUGCCAUUUUGUGAACCACCGAUUUCAGAAGACAUUUAAUUAUUUUAAAAACAAACUUUGUGCUUGGUUUCUAAAUGAAGAGAUGAGACAGAAGAUAUCACCUCCUCAAACAAGCCAUUUCAGCUAUGAAUAGCUGUUAUUUCCAAAAGCCUCCUCUCUUUAGUGAAGCCACACUCAAUUUAUUGAAUCCAUCAAGCGCUGACAUUCCACCUUGUCGUUGCCGUCCUGGCCUCUGAAAGAGAAUGGGCCGGCUAUUAAACCAGUUUUCUAGCAAAUUCAGAGCAGCAGGUUCUUGGCUGGGGCGAAAACAUUCCACUUAUCAAGAGAUAUUAUUCCUACAAAGGAUGAGAACCUUCUUCUUCAUAAAGAGAAUUUGGAGGGAGCUUUUGUUCUGCAGAGACAACAUCUGGAUUUGAAUACAUCCCUGCUCAAAAGGAGAUUUCUCAUAAUGGACCCAACUGAAAGCACUCAGAGUACAAGGACCGGUGAGCUUUCAAAAGCAGGCACUUCAGGAGACUCGCCAGGGGCGCUCGUAUCCCCAGCAGCGCGAGUUUUGGAGGUCAGUGGAGAGCUCUCGCGCCAUGCGUGUAACUUUCAUACUCAAAGACUUAUCUUCAUCCUCCACCCCCAUCCCGCUGCAGAAACUUGGGGCUUGAAUUCAUUUAAAAACAUUUGUGGUUUCAGAAGGCUCCUUUUUAUUAUAAAGCUGCCAAGGAGAUCUUAGAAUGAAAGGCAUUUUUAGAGAUGAGAAAGAAGGAAGCCGGGCCAAGGCCAGCCCGGCUCUCAGCCGUGGGUCUGUAAAGGUGACACGUGGGACGUGGCCACCUGCAGACCCUGCAGGCGGCUGGGCGGAGGCGCCUGGGCAGAGACGCCCAGUGGGACCUGGGUUUGAAUCCCUGCUCUGCCAGUCAUGUCCGCAGCUGAUCUUGGGGAAGUUGCGUAACCUCUGGGCCCUGCGAUGCCCUUUCCUGGAGCUGGAACGAAGCCCCUUGGAGCCCUGACAUCAGAGGUGACGCUAGUCUUCGCAGGCAAUGACUUGGCGGAAUGUGAUGCCACUCCCUAACCCACGUCCGGGCUGGAGGGGGUGUGUCACCUCCCACCAGGUGGUCCGGCUGCUUUGGUGGGUCUCCUAACUUCCCUGCACCCUACAGCCCUCAGUGCUGGCCAGACCUUCACUCACUCCUGACAACCUUGUUUUCAGCUAGCACGUCGACAGACUGGCCUGUGGCGCCCCCUGCUGGUGACUGCUGGAAGAAGGGUGACUUCCUGACCCAAAGGAAGUCCUUCUUGGGGUCUAACCUCUACCUCUGGCUUGAUAAGGCAACUGGGGUGGCUUGCUUUCUCCUCCACCCUAGAAAAUAAAGUCAUAUAGAUUCCAA